AUUGAACGCUGGCGGCAGGCCUAACACAUGCAAGUCGAGCGAGCGGCGGACGGGUGAGUAAUGUAUGGGGAACUGCCCGAUAGAGGGGGAUAACUACUGGAAACGGUGGCUAAUACCGCAUACUAUCGGAUGAACCCAUAUGGGAUUAGCUAGUAGGUGGGGUAAAGGCUCACCAAGGCGACGAUCUCUAGCUGGUCUGCGAGGAUGAACAGCCACACUGGGACUGAGACACGGUCCAGACUCCUACGGGAGGCAGCAGUGGGGAAUAUUGCACAAGGGGAGCAAGCCUGAUGCAGCCAUGCCGCGUGUAUGAAGAAGGCCUUAGGGUUGUAAAGUACUUUCAGCGGGGAGGCGUUACCCGCAGAAGAAGCACCGGCUAACUCCGUGCCAGCAGCCGCGGUAAUAC
RNAcentral lists this ribosomal RNA (406 nucleotides) under uncultured bacterium. RNAcentral describes it as "partial 16S ribosomal RNA". It matches the Rfam family "Bacterial small subunit ribosomal RNA", at positions 30 to 526 of the family's 1533-position model. The record is from RNAcentral.